AACACAGAAACAGAAUACCAAUUACUUUGGGAGAAAGAUAGAUUACUUGAAGCCGCCCUUGAGGCCGUUGUCGUCUUUGUCUUAUUUGGUGGACUAGUUAACUGGUUUAUGAAAGCGGAAUCGGCGGGCUAGUGCAGCGUUAUAUGCACAACAAAACAAGUUCUUGCACAGAAUCUGGCAUACUGGCACAGUUAUUGAAGAUAAAACUAUCGCGCAAAUGACAUUUAUAGAUGAGGAAAGAUUUAACAGUUAAGAGGAGCGCCUCGUUUUAUGGACCUCUUUCAAAACACAGGAACCAGUUUCGCGCGCUGCACGGCAUUUGUUUCCUUGUGUUUGUUGGUAUCCUUCCUCUUUUUUUUUUCCACGACGGUAAUGGCGGCCGUCUUGUCGUAGUCCAAUGUUAUUCUCGCAAGCAGGCGGCAGUUGGUGUAGCGGACAAGCAGCGGUUACCUGAAAAGCUUUGCGCAUGUGCAGCCGUUUCUUGUUCUGACAUACCAUGACGGGUUCAAAGGCCAAGUGCGAUUCGUGCUCGCAGCCGUUGUUCUGUCGACAACAAUUUAUCCCAUGCUGUGGGCCUUGUGGCCGGCGGUUCCACCGCAAGUGCUUGGGCAUCUUUGAUGAAGAGUACGAGCUGUACAUGUCCACGGGAUCGAGCACGUACAAGUGCUCCCAGUGUACUAGACGCAACGGGUUUGACAAUAUAGGGCUCCCAAUGCCCGCUGUAAGUACCCCGCUGGACCAAGACGUCACCACCUGUGAUGGAGCCUGCGGCCAACUUCGUGUCGUCGUGCAGGCCCUGUGCGACAAAAUCGCGUCACUUACAAGUGUGGUUCUUGAUCUGAAAAAUGACAACGACAGCCUUCGCUUGCACCUGGCCCGGAACACAGAGCUGUUGCGAAAAUGUACGCCGCAGCAGAAAUGUGACGGAAACGAGUGGCGUCCUUUGGCGCCUUCACCGACGUCCCUUUGGUCACACGCCGCAAGUCUACGUGUCCUAUCCAUCGACUUCGCGUCGCGCCAACGCGAAGCUACGUCACUAGCCAACCAGAUGCCAAGAUGCGUCAUCGGAUUACCGUGCGGGCUGACUGUUACAUCACAGAAAUGACGUCCAGGACUCUGGGUGCCGUUGGAGGUGGCGAACCCGCCAGCGCCGUACAGGUAAGACUGGGCCAGGUUCGACUUUCCCUGGCCAGCCGAUGCGUUCGCCGACGAGCCUUGUCGGGAGCCUGCGGGUCACAUACACGGGAGAGCAGCUACUUCGUGCGCUGUCCGGCAACAGUCUGGCGAAACUCCAGCUAUGUUAUAGCGGCGCAAUCCAGGGCCGAAGCCGCGGCUGGGCUGCUCUUGGAAGGCAGCGGGUCGGCGUCCGUGGGAGACACGGCUCC
Dermacentor andersoni is the source of this 1385-nucleotide long non-coding RNA. RefSeq lists it as uncharacterized. The record is from RefSeq and is a predicted model, not a curated record. Lineage: Eukaryota; Metazoa; Arthropoda; Arachnida; Ixodida; Ixodidae.